RNA transcript from Dinoponera quadriceps, 4590 nucleotides. It is a transcript of the gene named BTB/POZ domain-containing protein KCTD9, with no coding region annotated. The transcript has 8 exons. NCBI's taxonomy places the organism in Eukaryota, Metazoa, Arthropoda, Insecta, Hymenoptera, Formicidae. The record is from RefSeq and is a predicted model, not a curated record.
UCGCUCUUGGCUGUGCCGGACCAAAGUUCAUGGUUGAAUUUGUUACAGCCGGCUGUCGAUUCGGACUUAUUCUUGACAGUGUUCUCCGUCCAUGCUCUAUUUAUAGAUUUCAUAUAUCAAGAACAAUUGAUUGCGAUACAAUUAUGAAAAGAGUUAUCAUUUUUGUGAAUGGGACCGAUGUUAAUGGCAAGGUGUUUGUGGUGACUCAUUCAUUGGACGAAUUAUUGACGGCGGCUAGUGCAAAAUUCGAAAUAACCGCGAAGAGAAUUUUCACGCCACAAGGUGGAGAAAUUGAUGAUAUUAAGCUGAUGAGAGAUGAUGAUAUUUUGUAUGUUUCAUGCGGUGAGGAUUUUAUACACAAGGAUAAAAUACGUAAUCAUAAUCAGCUAAAUAGGAAUUCAGAAUGGAUCACAUUGAAUGUCGGUGGGAAAUAUUUUACCACAACUAGGGAUACUUUAACAAAAAAGGAACCUAUGAGCAUGUUAGCAAGAAUGUUUACAGAGCCUGAAGAUGCAGAACAUGCGAUGCAGCCAAGCAGGCGAGAUCAUCAGGGAGCAUAUUUAAUAGACAGAAGCCCAACGUAUUUUGAACCAUUAUUAAAUUAUUUGCGGCAUGGUCAGGUGAUACUUGACUCUAAUGUUAAUGUAGCUGGUGUACUGGCGGAGGCACGUUUUUACGGUAUUGAGGGCGCCAUUCGAAUUCUCACUACAAUGAUGGAAAAGGAGGAACUGCAGAAGGACGGUCUUAUAUCUCUAACUCGCAAGGAUGUACUUAAAGCGAUCAUGUCGACGCCGACUAGCGCGGAACUCAGGUUCCAGGGCGUCGACUUCGUAGGAGCCGAUCUUUCGAAGCUAGAUCUCAGGAAUAUUAAUUUUAAGUACGCUAUCAUGCAUCAUUGCAGUCUGGUGGGCGCUAAUCUGUCAGGAUGUUGUUUCGAGCGCGCCGAUUUAUCUCACGCCAAUCUGCAGGGCGCGCAGCUCGUGUGCGUCAAGAUGUUGUGCGCGAAUUUAGCCGCGGCCAAUUUACACUCGUGCAAUUUCGAGGACCCCGGCGGUCUGUCGGCGAAUAUGGAGGGUGUAAAUCUGAAGGGUGCUAAUCUCGAAGGCAGCAACAUGGCAGCCGUAAAUCUUCGAGUAGCCACGUUAAAAAAUGCUAAUCUUAGAAAUUGCGUUUUGAGAUCCGCUGUUUUGGCCGGCGCUGAUUUAGAGUUCUGCGACUUGUCCGGCUCUGAUUUGCAGGAUGCGAAUCUACGCGGCGCGAAUCUGAAGGAUGCCACUUUCGAGCUGAUGUUAACGCCACUACACAUGUCCCAAACAAUACGAUAACAAUGAAUGUCAAGCUGCAUACAUCAUUGCAGCUCAAGUCUUGUAACAAUGAUGUUUGAGGCAAUUUUCAGGAAUUCGAAAUGCAGCUAGCACUGUAACACGGCGUACUUUUUCAUGUGUCAUGGACACCAUAAGAAGUAAUUGUUUCCUGUUGAUUUUUAAGUAAACUAUGUUACAGCUACAGAAGAAAGGUGUAUGUGCCUUUUUGGUAUAAUUGAAAACUAAGUCACGGUGAACAAAUUGUAAAGCAAAAAUUUACAAAAGGAGGAAAAGUUGAAUUUAUAUAAUUUGAACAAAUUUUCAUCUAACACAAUGGCGGAAUUGUGUUCAAAAGAUUUAUUUUUUCGAUAUAAAGAUAAAUAAUUUUGCACUUGAUGUUACUCGAUGUAAAUAAUUAUUUAAGAUUCUGCAUAUCGUACUUUUUUAUUUAUGUGUCAGUAGCUGUCGUCAAGACGAUUUCGAUGACACACGAUAGUCCGUUGAAGAUGAUUAUGAAAAAGAUAUUGCAAAUUUUCCAAUUUUUUCCAAAAAUAGCUUUUCUCACGAAUAAAGCCUCGUUUUCGAGGGUUGUUUUACGCUUGCGACUUUUAUUUUUGCACGAGGCGUCACUUUACCGACGAUUGUAUCGUUAGCGUCUUUACGUUGUAUCUUUAGCGUCGCAUCUUAUAUAUACUGGAUGUUCCGAAAUUAGACCGAAGAUAAGAAAUUAGUCCGAAUUUAGACAAACUUCGGGUGCUGAAGGACACCCGAACUUUGUCAAUAAAUCUAUGUCCGUAAAUGAACCAUUUUGGCACUAGAGUGAAUUAUUUACAACAGUUGUUAGAAUACUGACUAUUUACAUCUAGCUUAUAAAUAAAACGCAUAUCGGUCAGUUCGUCAAAAGAAAAAAAUUUUCAUUUUGAAAAUGAAUUUCGAAUAAAUGGUAAAGAAACGCUGUUAUAUUAAAUUCGCGAGUCAUUAACAAACAAUUCUAAUUCUACCCGUUUGAAAAUUUUCAUCAAUCUUCAAUUUGAUAAAGCAAUUUUUUUAUAUAUUAAUGUUUUUAUCAAAAUAAUAAAAAUCGGGACCAGGAAAAAAAUUGCUGAUAUCUCUGCACGGAAAUAAAUGGCCAACACUUCAAACAAGUGCUGCAAAUAAUUCAUUCUAUUACCAAAGCGGCUCAUUUGCGAACAUAGGUUUAUUGACAAAAAUUACUUGUUUUAUCGUUCUUCACAAGUACCUAAAUUUUAUCGUUUUAAUUUCGGCACACCUUGUGUACGUAUAAACAUACAAUAUAUUUUUAUCUCUUAUUUAUAUCCUUCGAAUGUUUGCAAAGAUUCCUUUACCGCCAAUAUUAAAUACUUUUGCGACUAAACGUCUCUUCUGGAGACUUUGCACUUCGACGGUUCAUCGAGGUAUGUAUCCUGCGCGCAAUGCAUUUAUACGUGGAUCGUUCCAAAUGCUGGAUUAUUCUAUAACAGGGCGACGACAUCGAGUCCCACUGAACUAAUGUAGAAUGAUUUAAUGAAACGCCACUAUGAAGUAUAUUAAGGAGACAAAUUUGCCCGUAGUAGGAAGCGUGAAUAUGCACCGACGUAGAUACGAGCGUAGAUACGAGCUACCACGUCAAAGGAGCGCGAUGUUAUGCUGCGCGAACUGCUGAUUACCUUGCUCUAGAUAUCUUGUCUCGUUCCUCUUAAUUUAGAAACGGUCGUGAGAAGUGAGACUUGGUAAUUGCGUGAACAAAAGUUCGUAAUUGCAACUCGCACUCUCUUCGAAAAGUUCUGUUCCGAAAUGCGAUCUUGUGUGUGUGCUGUACGCGCGCGCGCGCGCGCAUGCGAGUAUAUAUCGUCGUGUAUUACUCGUCGUGUAUUACUCAUGCAUAAUUUAAGUCAGGGCGAUGUACAUGUAAUAAAAGAAAAGAAAUCAAUCGACCAGCGUUAUAUUAUAAAGAUUUAUGUAUCGAUGUAUCUUCUUAAUCACACACAUACACCAAAAAUUCGAAAGUGCCCGGUAGAAGAAUCCUGAAGGAUUUUCUUCGGGGAAUUCAUUAGAAAUUUUAACGCCUCUGUUUAAUCAAUACGUUCUCGGAACUCUCAUAACUUUGAAUCAUCACGAAGGAAAGCAAUUCCAGCAGUCCGAGAACUCUACGCCAAUCCACGAUAGAAAAAAUAUGAAUCUCGAAACGGAGAAAUCCCGCUGAACGAGAUGUGGAAGUUCCUUGACAUAUCGUUGAAAUAAAACGAGAACGAACGCAUAUAAUACGCGCGUACAAUGUAAUUUAAUUCGUACAGACUCUUGGGCGCUGUUCAAAUUUGAGCUUUAUCUAUUAGCACUCUGGAUUUGCAAAUUUUUUUGAAUGUCACUCAAUUAAUGUCUUCAAACAUCGCUCCACAAUCCAGUAACACAAUUGGAACUGCGGGAUUUCGAGUUUUUCAGUUCCACCGAGGAAUCACUCUGUAAUUGCACAAGUUGUGAAAAUAUCGCAGGGCUUCGUGUGUUUCAUUCUAUCUCGUGAUGAGUUUUUGCUUUAAAAAAUACCGACAGUAUGUCGAAGGAGACGUAUUAAGCGAAAAUUCGAAUUCGUGAUGUACACGCGGUUAUAGGAGUUUUUUCUUUUCUGUUUUUGCACGCGGAUGGAACACUCAUAUAUCUGUCGGAAUUAAGCGUACAAUAGUGUAGUACGUUUUAUUGCGAGCCCUCCGCAAGUGGCAAUUUCGUUAUAAAGCUAUGGCGCGGUAUCGCCGCACCGGGCUAGUAUAGAUUUUCACGGUGUAUAUCGGGGAUGUUUAAGGCUCUUGGAUCAUAUAUCAAGCACGUAUAUCCGCUAUGUAAACGCGGUAUACUUGAGGAAGUAAUGUCGGAACCGAACGUACACCUCUGGGCAAACUCGAGGCUUAUUGCUUCCCGUUACCCGGUAAACGGUAAACAAGAUUGAUCUAAGGGAGUUUCGGAAAACAAAUUUCGCGCCGACGGUUUAUGUUGAACUUUAUUCCCGACGUACUUUACAGUGAUCCUAAUGUUAUCCUUGCAAUAAAGCAUCGCGAAUAAAUAUAUAUAUAUAUAUAUAUCAUUCUGGAUUAGAAAUGAAAAUAAUCCGACGGUAACUUACUCAGCAAUUUACGGCAAAUUUCUCGGUAAUUUUUGAAAACUGUUAAAAUGGCAAUUUUAUGAAAAAAAAAUUACAGAAAUAAAACAAUUUUUAUUUGAAGCCCAAAAGGAGCAUUUAGUUUUUAACAUGAGUAAAACACUUUAUUUAACUAAUAUUUUCAAUAAAAUAUUUUGA